Molecule: long non-coding RNA, 750 nt
Organism: Zophobas morio
Lineage: Eukaryota; Metazoa; Arthropoda; Insecta; Coleoptera; Tenebrionidae
Exons: 2
Source: RefSeq, a predicted model, not a curated record
AGAUAAUUUAAAAUACAAAUAUAACACACAUAUGUGGAAAAACACUGAAAAAUGUAUUCUAUUUUUAUUUCAAGGCAACAGUUUCACAUACUUGGAGUGCUUCAAACAUGACCAUUUUCCCCUAAUCAGUACAAAGAAAUCCAUAUUUGCGUAUCGCUUAUUCACGAACAUUCCUUGAUAAAUGCGCCUUUAUAUGAAGGACACAACACCUGUGCUACAUUAGUCAAGAACCUUCGAAGUAGCUGAAGCCACAAUGUUCUCCAAAGACAAACUUUCUUUGCUGUUUGCGGUAGCAGUUUCUGCAAACAUUUUAGUCCUCUCCAGGGGUGCAGCUGUGGAGAAUCCAAUUCAGGCAGACCCUCUAGCACCGAACAUGCCACCCAAUGCUGCCAUUUCAUCCGUUUCCGCUGCAUCUGACGCAACCCAAUCAUCUACAGUGGCAGUUUCUGGGUCGGCAGUCAACUCGACUCAGAGCGUUCCAGGGAGUAGUGAAAAUUCAAACCCAGAUCCUUCCAAAACCGUAACUCCCUUGAAAUCUUCCACUGUUACCCGUCAAGCAGUAUAUCCUCGAGGAAGUUUUCCGGAUAUGAUACCUUCUAGAAACUCAACUCAGAAAUUUCAACCAGACAAAAUAACUGUAUUAGGCCAGCAUUUGUAGUUUCUGCCUUAGUCGAUUUAGAUAAUGUUACGGUUAUGGGCUAGUUUUGUUUUUUGUACUGCAUGUAAAAAAAUAUAGAAUGUUCUCUAUGC